This 546-nucleotide unclassified non-coding RNA is filed under the name uncultured bacterium. Its description in RNAcentral is "partial contains 16S ribosomal RNA, 16S-23S ribosomal RNA intergenic spacer, and 23S ribosomal RNA". The stretch from base 363 to 502 matches the Rfam family "Salmonella enterica Typhi npcRNA 44". The record is from RNAcentral.
GUCGUAACAAGGUAGCCGUAGGGGAACCUGCGGUUGGAUCACCUCCUUACCUAAAGAUACGCAUUGUGCAGUGUCCACACAGAUUGUCUGAUGAAAUUAAUGAGCAAGAGCACCUGUUGAUGCAGUGAGGGCAACCUUACGCUGAUACGAAAAGUGCCAAACCAUGUAUGUGGUCUGGUACGGAAUUUUCGUGUCCCCAUCGUCUAGAGGCCUAGGACACUGCCCUUUCACGGCUGUAACAGGGGUUCGAAUCCCCUUGGGGACGCCACUCCGAUAAUGUGUGAAAGACAUUAUCAACUGUUCUUUUAUGAACAGAAAAUAUCUUAAAGAUGACUUUAAUAAGUCGUGUUUAAGAUAUUGCUCUUUAACAAUCUGGAACAAGCUGAAAAUUGAAAGUUUACAGCUGAACAUCACUCUCCGUAGAAGUACUGAGUGAUGGAUUAGUCUGUAACAGAGUCUCUCAAAUAAUCGCAGCGCGAUGUUGUCUUUAAGACACCUUCGGGUUGUGAGGUUAAGCGACUAAGCGUACACGGUGGAUGCCUUGGC